This is a long non-coding RNA of Helianthus annuus (common sunflower), 395 nucleotides long. RefSeq lists it as uncharacterized. The record is from RefSeq and is a predicted model, not a curated record. NCBI's taxonomy places the organism in Eukaryota, Viridiplantae, Streptophyta, Magnoliopsida, Asterales, Asteraceae. The transcript is spliced from 4 exons.
CAGAGAAGGGAAGAAAGGGAAAAACCCUAGCUUGAUCAAUUAACCACAAAAUCAGUACGAUUAUGAAGGAUUCAUGUUACAAAUCGAAUGCUAGUGUCUAAAUACUCAUUAAUCCCAGUGUUUUGAGCAUAAGGAUCGAAAGAAGAAGGAGCUAGUUCCGGAUCACAAACAAAGGCGCAAGAUCGAGGAUCGAAAGAAGAAGGAGCUAGUUCCGGAUCACAAACAAAGGCGCAAGAUCGAGGUAAAGCACCCGUAUGAUGGUCAUUGCGUCGCUUGGACACGAACACACCUUGAACACCCGUGAUGCGCUUCCGCACUUUUGUAGAUGCCAUAUUAGUUAAAGACUUUUGUUUAAAUUAGUAGUGUUGAAGUUUUAAAUUAUCUAGUUGUUUGUG